AGAAGAGGAAAAAAAAAC
Molecule: small RNA, 18 nt
Filed under: Arabidopsis thaliana (thale cress)
Lineage: Eukaryota; Viridiplantae; Streptophyta; Magnoliopsida; Brassicales; Brassicaceae
Description: ATSL306180
Source: RNAcentral